Pezoporus occidentalis (night parrot) is the source of this 7017-nucleotide long non-coding RNA. RefSeq lists it as uncharacterized. The record is from RefSeq and is a predicted model, not a curated record. The transcript is spliced from 2 exons. Lineage: Eukaryota; Metazoa; Chordata; Aves; Psittaciformes; Psittacidae.
GUCUUUUGAGGUAUAUUUUAAACAGUUACAAUCCCCGCAACUGAAAUUGCAUUCAAAGUUUAUUCUUGUCUUAUUAAGUGGUAUUAUUGUGCUUUUAGUUUUUAUAUGCUCAUUUUUUUCCCCAAGUACUAGUGUAGGAUUUCCUUCCUACCUUUAUGACUUCUUGAAAGGACUGCAGGCUGAUUCAGAUAGUACUACGUACCUGAGAGCAUUCCCAGUUGUGCUGUUGUUGAUGAUAGGAUCAGUCCUUUAGUUUUCGGUUCUGCUUUGGUCUGCACGUACCCAGAUUAAAGGCAGAGUUUUGUCUGGUAAGAUCAUGUUUUGCAUUGUAAAUGAGCACACUGCUGAUGAUUUAAGUGUUAAUAGGAUGAUGAAAGUGUCUGCUAAUCUGAGUAAAAAUUCACUUGAGCAGUGGAAGGGACUUGAGCCAGGCUCAAGUCCUGUGAGCAUGUCUUUUAAUGGUAGAGUUCAGUUGAAGUGUGGACUGGUACAGCAGAUACUUGUAUCAUUAUAGUCAAAACCUUAACAGCUCUAGUGAUGAUAAUGAGGCUCAAAAUGCUGAGAUUUCAGUGAGUUUUCAAAUUCCUCACAUUUUCAAAGAAAAGAGCAGAGUCCCUGUGCUGAAGAGCUCUUUGCGUCAUCGCUGACCCGCUCCCACGGGACCAUUGCUGCCUCUGCCGGAGCUGUGGGGAUCUGGGAAUUGAAUGUGCGAGGCAAUGAGUAGGAACUGCUUCACCUCGGUGCAACUGUCAUAGAACAUGAGUUUGUGUCAAUGCUGUCAAUCUGCUUUAUUAGCUCAGCUGCCAUUUCUAACACUUCCACCUCUGAUUUAUGUUGGUGAAGUGCAACAGCUGCAGUAGCUGCUCCCUAGAGCAGUUACUGUUGUACCUCUGGUAGUCUCCAGCCUUUCCAUCCAGGGCUAUGUCCUCCCUCCCUGUUAGGGUUUCUCACACCCACAGUCUGAAUCUUGCUUGUGUUUCACACUGCACUGGCAGCACGUAAAAGUGACCCAAGGAAAACUGCAGAUGUGAGGGUACAGCAGCUGUUGUGGAAGGGCUCUGCUUUCCUCACCUUGGCCUCCCUGGCGUGGGGGAGGCUGUUGGGGUACACUUGUGAUAGCGGUCAGCCCUGAAUGGAACUGAGCUUUCACAUUCUUGUUUCGAGUAGGCCUGGCUGUCCUGGAGGUGCAGGAGAGCCAUGGUGUGUGAACCGUGUUUGUGUAGGGUGUAUGAGGUGAAAAAAUGAAGAAAAAGGUCCUUGCCAUUCUGUAGACUAAACAAUGUUUCUGGUAGCAGUAUGUUAACUGGGAAUUGCCAGCAAACAAAGCUUUAUCAACAGCUAGCCGUUAGCGGCAAUUUACACCGGAGGGACAAAUAACGCUAACAAUAACAAUUCGUCCUUGUGUUACUGCAGCGUAUGUAAUCCGAGGAGAUGGUUUAGUAGCAUGCACAGAGUUGGUUUUUCUGGUUAGGAGCCUCAUCUCUGUCAGGAAUUGUUAGUAUGGCCAAAGUGACACAGUUUCUGCAGUGUAGAUUAGCCCUCUGCUUUCUGGCUUUGCCUAAGUCCCACAUUAGCCAUGGGCCCUGCCCACUUUUAAAUGGAAAAAUUCAAACUGCAUUCUUGUCUGGAGUGGCAUUUUUAGUGGAGCAUGACUAUAAAAUUACAGCAAUGUAUGUUGUUGCGUGUUUUGUUUUCCUUGGAGAAAGGGAUUCAAACUGCAGCUGUUACGAGUGCGUUUUUAAAGCCCAUGCAAGUGAGGUAUUCUUUAGAGGAGGAAGGUGGAAGUGAAAUAUUAGUUGAUACUAUGUUUGCAUUGCUGAGUAAUAUCUAAAUGGUCACUUUGAGCUCAUGAGAUACUUAAUAAACAGUUCUAACUAAAUAGAGAGUUUGUCAGCAUUGAAUCAGACUUAGGAAAGUGUUAAGUAUUUGGGGGGCAAUAGAAUUGGUUACCAUCAUUUAAUAGUCAUAUUUCACCAGUUUGGCAAAUGUGUUUCUUGCAUGGAUGGAGCUUGAAGACUGACACAAACAGGCAAAUGAAUGAGCACUAAUGGAGAAACAGUGAUACCAGCCAUAGCUGCAGUGCUUUCAGCAGCUAAAAUAGAGUGAAGGAGAAGACAUGCUUGUCCUUGUUUCCAGUUUGUUUAAUAAAGUUUGGUUAAAGAACCAGGAAUGGGGUGGCUGUCAUGCUGAGUGUGCGAGGAGAGGAGACUUUUUGUCCUGUUCCCCAGUGUGACUGGGUCUGCCCGACUCCUGCUGGGUGCACUGAGGAGCACCCUGGACUGCUGGAAUUGCUUGGUUUUCUGAGAUCCAGCCACCUGUGUGGUGCAGAGAACACGGGUGGUGUCCAGAAGUAUGUCAUUGACAGGCACAUAGGGGAUCAGGAGAAACGGGCUACCUCAUACACUGUUUAGCUGUGGCAAAAUCAUUCUCUAAGGCUGACAGAUCUUUGCUUUCCUGCUGACUGUAAAGAAUUACAGUCCCUUAGAAAUCCUUUUAUCAGCUGCAGCUAUAGACAUUUCCAGACACUUUCCUCCUUCUGGAUACCUAAGACAGACAGUUACGCUUUAUUCCCCCCAGACAACAAAUGCUUUGGGCUGUGGUUUUGUUUUUUAACCCCCAUGUGUAUCACUUACUGUAUGUGGCUAGCUCAGAUUCUGCAUUUCUUUUUGGUCGUUGCCUCACUAGUAUCAUAAACCAGUCUGUACACACAGCAGGGGGGUUGGAACUAGAUGUUCUCAAGGUCCUUUCAAACACUAAUCAUUAUAUGAUUCUAUGAUAAUGAGACUCUUGGCAGAUGUUAAACGCCAUCCCGUUAAGGAAGGUGAGUACAUCACAGAUCGGUAGUUUCCACCCUUGUAGACUUUCCUUGGGACAGAAUCUUGAUGGUCCAGGGAGAGUGACUGAGAGAAGUAAGCUGACAAACUCAAUGCAGUUUCUAAAUUGGUCUGCACAUGAAGAGCCCAUAAACUGGGGAAGGUUCACUGCAACUGUUACCAGGACCAAGGACAUCCAUCUGUGUCUGGUCUUAAUGUCUGGUGCACUCCUGUAUCAGUAAGUAAACUCAUGUAGAUGGGCACACACAGUCUGGCUUUUCCCCUUCUUUUGAAACUGAGCUGAAGCUUGUUAAGUUCCUAGGACUGAGGUAGGACAGGGAAGGACAGACCCUUACAUGUUUUAGUGUUCCUGUGUUUUGUUUCAGGCCAGCACUUGCAGUUGGUGUGUGCUGGCUGAAUUGAACACGUGUUGUUUGCAGAGAGCUCUAGGGAGGUGUCAUGUAUAUGCCGUUGCUCAUCCAGCCAGCAGAACUGAUGUGCUGAGCAGGGACAGGCUCUGCAGCCAGGAGAGCUGUUGCCCCACAAAGUGGGAGUGGAAGUCAGCAGUCCCAGCUCUGAGCAUUCUGCUGUUUUACAAGUACCCAGUCUCAUGAGCACGUCCUAACAGAUCUACCAGAAAUCAUCUCUAAGCUGUCCUUUACCUCAUCUAAUGGAAAAAACCACAGGUAGAAGCAGUCUGCACAGUUGGGAUCCUCAUAAAGGAUGGUCUGACGGAGUCCUAUGCAAACAGAAUUUUACCAGUCAGUCCUCAUGUUGUUAAAAAGGUUAAAAUUUUGGAGUUCUGGAUAUACGAGGGUUCCUGUUUUUCCUUCUAUGUUCUGUAUUUAUUGCUGUGGCAUUUUCUGUUUCUUUCCCCAGGUGACCCUUAUUGCUUAGAACAGGCACAUUUUGAAGACUUGAACUGUGCAAACUGUGUAGUGACAGAGAUGGUUCUUUUCAGUUACACAGUGAAGGCACAUGGUGGACGAGGCAAAUGACAGAUGUGUGUGUUCAGCAGCUAAGGCUGUGUUGCUCUGGAACUGGAGUCUCAUCUUGCCUCUGCCAUAAAACCUACUCCCGGUCAAGCCACAAUACACUUGCACAGGGUCCCUAUGGGAUCUCCAGUGAGAACACUCACUUUGUAAGACUGUACAGUUGUUGCUGAAACAAACCCCUCAUACUUUGAUGCAGGUGCCCAUGGAUACAUUGUGAAAAAGAUGGAUAGAGAGUUCCAAUGCACAGUUAAGGUUUAACUGAAGCUGCAGAACUCUUAAUAGCCACUGGACACUGUAAAUGGCACUGGGGAUUUGAUGGGAGGAAGAGAGCAUGGUUUUAUGGCUACAGUUUAUGUGCCAAUGUAAACAGACCUAAGGCUUCAAAAGUAACCGUGUUUCUCUGGUUUUGAGGUUUUUGGCUGGUAACUCUUAAAUACAGUCCCAAGACAGAACAUUUGAGGUAAUCACACCGCCACUUCAUGCUUUUGAAGAGCAUCCAGGAGCCCUCAAAUGACUUUGUUAAAACCACUUUUCCUGAUGGAUGCAGUUGGCCUGUAAAUUUACAUUUUAGCAUUUUAACUGAAAUACUGAAACAUUAAGUGUGAGAUGGAUAGGAAGUUGAUGCUCUUACGUGUUACACUCAAAUGGGGGGCGGAACCCCCCUAUUUGUCUAAAGGGGUGAAAAAUGUUUGCUAGGAAAGUUACAAUUAAAAUGUAACCUAAUUGUUGCUGGAAUUAGGUGAUGCUUGGUAAGGUUUUCUGCUGCAUAAAGGAUGUAAUGUACGUUUCUACAAUAGCCCUGGGUCAGUCAGAUCAUCACUGAGGAGCUGUUCUACACCAUACUCCAAGACCCUGUCACCAGGCUGUUCUGCUGACCAGUUCACUUCUCUGUUCCUGGGAUUGCCCUGACCCAGGUGUAGGACCUUGCACUUGGCUUGGUUGAACUUCAUGAGGUUUGCACUGGCCCACUUCCCAACCCUGUCCAGGGCCCUCUGGAUGCCAUCCCCUCCAAGCAAGUCAACUGCACCACAGAGCUGGGCGUUGCCGACAGACUUGCUGAGAGUGCGCUCAAUCGCACCAUAUACACUUCACUCCUUGCAGCUUGUACUGGUAAGAAUCAGGAAAUGUGAUCAGGUAGACAGCCUAAUGAUAGAGAAACUUUGUGAAUUUUAGUUUAUCAUUUUGCUACAGCUUCGUGUGACCUCAGAUGAAAGUUCAGCCAAGUAUGGGACUACGUUUAUUUAGAAGAUAUACAAGUAUGUAAAUACCUUGCUGUCAUGGGUAGAAUAUAACAUUAUAUACAACUGCCAGGUAUAUUAAAAUCAUGCCACAUAAGGAGAAAAAGCUUGGGGCAGUCAUGGCUACUGGAGAAGGAGCUGGGGAAAACUUAGUCAGAAAUGCAUGAAGUAGCAAAGUACUGAGCAUCUUUUUAACUGUCCUAGGACAAGGCAAUAGAGUCCUUCACCAGAUCAGUAGUCAGCACAGAAGGGAUCCAUACUUCUGUCCUUGCUUAUUAAGAAGACAAAGCUAAAUCUCUCCCUAUGCCAGCCCUGCAUGCAUCUGGGCCUACUCACAGGCUCAGACUUGUCUAACAGCGCUAGUACAGCAGCUGGGAAUAACAUUCACAAACUGAUUUAUUAUGGUUUUUUUUAUUUGAGUAGAAGAUGUAUGUGUCUAUCAAGAGCCAUGAUUCCACUGUUUUCCAGAAGCAUACCAUAGACAGUAAUUUUCUGGGCCAUAUGAAUUUGUCAGUUUUCUUCUUCCCGAGUUUCUUCUGUCAUCAGAAAACUACCCUUGCAAGUUCAAACAGAACCUGUGGAAUAGCAAACACAUGAAUAUGAGUUUUUAUUUAAUAAUUCUUAAAACAGCUUAUACUGGAAACAAGAUAAUCUGAAAAACUACAGCUGCAAUUCAAAAAUGCCUUGCAAAGAGCUGAAGACCAAUCCUAUUGUACAGUAUAGUGCAUUACCUCAAUAAAAUAAUCUUCAUUCUCAAAGUACGCAAAUUGCACUUGUUAUUAUGUAUUCAGUGUGAUAGUGGAAAGAGCCCCACCAACCUCUAUGGUGAUGAGUAUCACUAUCAUCCACUCGAGGCGCAGAGCGUGCUUUUCAUUCAGGUGAUUUCGCAUCAGGUCUGUCAGCUCCAUGCAGUGCUGAAGCUUCUCAUUCAUUACCUGCAUCAAGAGAUUGCAAAUACAUGGCAAAUCUGGAUUCUGUAACUGCAAUGAGAUCACUAAAUAGAGGAACACAGUCCACAGAAGGGCUCACUGAACAGAACUAAAAGGAUGUUGACACUCUUCUGUGAAAUAAUAGAAAGCCCUGAAGGCAACGUGCACAAGCAACAGAGGUUUCAAUAUGAACAAGUCUGUUGUUUCUAUAGGUUCACAAAAAUAACAGGAAUUUAGAUAUGCAUCUGCAGGAAUUAAACUGCUUCUAGAUGAUGCCUGCUCAGAGAACAGGCAUAAGCAAAAGAAGAUGUAGCUACUGGAAUGCCUCAAAAGUAACUAAAUAUUUAAAACUGCUGAACCAGCAGAAGUGGUAGUUUUUGUGUUGCUUAUUCUGGUUCAGCAGUAAGCAUCUUUUCACCCGUCAAACUGACCUGGAUGAUCAUGUCUGUAAAAAGAAAUGUCACAUCUCAAGUUUUUUUACUUGUUUUGUUGCAUACAUUUCAGAAGAGGAAUUAAAUCUCAUAACUAUAUAAAGCCUAAUUUAGUGGCUCAGGAAAUAGGCAAUCAAUUCACAUGAGGCAGUACUGUUAAGUGGGUAAGAGAUAUGAGUGGUUUAUGAACACAUGGAAAAAGGGACAGCUCACAGGAUCCUAUUUUUCUUUAUCCAGUUUCUGCAAUUAAAACAGACAUUCAGGAGCAGUAUGUAACCCUGCUGAGCUGGAGACAGCUGAUCUGAGCAUGGAAAAUUCUUAGUAAGAACACCUACCUUAACUCUGCGAUUAAUGUUGAGGAACUGGCACGUCUUGUCAUAAAGUUCUUCAAGUUUUUCUCUGUCCCAGUAGAAGUCGGGUGUUAUUAGUAGGUCUGAACUCAGAUUUAUACGGUGCCUAAAAAAAAAAUGGAUACUACAGUAGUUCAAACUUCCCUUUGGUAAGUAGAGGAGCAAAUAUUUACACAACAGUUAAAAGAAACAGGAAAAAUUUCCUGUAAUUUUAAGUAAAUUGUGAAAAGAAUCUCCUUUCAUAAUAAAAAAUACAAUUGU